AUGUUAUGGUUCCGAUUACCCGACGGACCCCUGAAUUCUGGUAGCCGAACCUAUUUUUUUUAAGCAGACUGAAUACAAUAAGCUUUCAGAUACCAUUGUUUUUCGCCCAGUGUAUCAGCCCAG
Long non-coding RNA from Haliotis rubra (blacklip abalone), 123 nucleotides. RefSeq lists it as uncharacterized. The transcript has 3 exons. The record is from RefSeq and is a predicted model, not a curated record. Lineage: Eukaryota; Metazoa; Mollusca; Gastropoda; Lepetellida; Haliotidae.